CUUCCUGCACCACUGCUUGAAGAAGGUGUCUUCCAGGAACUGGCAGUAGGACUGGGAGUUGAGCUUGACUCCAUCCUCAACCCGAAAAGGCCCCACAAGCUCAUCUUUGAUGAUACCAGCCCAAACCAGUACUCCACCUCCCCCUUGCUGGCGUCUGAGUCGGACUGGAGCUCUCUGCCCUUUACCAAUCCAGCCACGGGCCCAUCCAUCUGGCCCAUCAAGACUCACUCUCAUUUCAUCA
This is a non-coding RNA of Pelobates cultripes (western spadefoot toad), 241 nucleotides long. NCBI's taxonomy places the organism in Eukaryota, Metazoa, Chordata, Amphibia, Anura, Pelobatidae. The record is from the annotation of a GenBank genome assembly.